This 403-nucleotide unclassified non-coding RNA is filed under the name fungal sp. Its description in RNAcentral is "partial internal transcribed spacer region". The stretch from base 1 to 46 matches the Rfam family "Eukaryotic small subunit ribosomal RNA", at positions 1786 to 1831 of the family's 1831-position model. The record is from RNAcentral. Lineage: Eukaryota; Fungi.
AAGUCGUAACAAGGUUUCCGUAGGUGAACCUGCGGAAGGAUCAUUAACACGUAUCCAACGUUAAACCCCCCUGUGAACUUUUAUACUUGCUCUCCUAGCCCGCCGGAAUUGCAAUCCCUGGUAAAUCAUUGUUGAACAGAUUUUGAUUCAGGGACCUCAGUUUGGUAGGCGAAGAUCGAGCGAUCGUUGCAAGUGGCCUGGUUUCCCCAAGCAGUCAGUGUCUGGAAGUGUCAUUGAUUGUGUAAGGAUAGCGCUUCUACGAUUCUUGUAGACCGUACACUCGGGCAGGAGCUUUGCCGAAGGGUCCCCAUGCCCCCUAAUAACCCCACAUUUUAAUGAAGCUCAAUGUAAUACAUUGGGUAAAAAAACCGAACAACUGUUAACAAUGGAUAUCUUGGUUCUC